This 263-nucleotide unclassified non-coding RNA is filed under the name uncultured fungus. RNAcentral's name for it is "sequence contains ITS1, 5.8S rRNA gene". The stretch from base 215 to 263 matches the Rfam family "5.8S ribosomal RNA", at positions 1 to 49 of the family's 154-position model. The record is from RNAcentral. Lineage: Eukaryota; Fungi.
UUUCCGUAGGUGAACCUGCGGAAGGAUCAUUAGAGAAAUUAUUGAGAGUUGAGCUGGCUUUUCACGAAGCAUGUGCUCGCUUUCUAAUUAUCUUAUCCAUACACCUGUGCACCCCUUGAGGUAGAGUGGAAUUGUUUCUGCUCUCCUCGUUUAUCACAAACUCUUUGUUAAACAAUGAACGUGAAUUAGUGCCUUAUGGCCUUAAUCAAAAUACAACUUUUAACAACGGAUCUCUUGGCUCUCGCAUCGAUGAAGAACGCAGC